This 469-nucleotide long non-coding RNA is filed under the name Solanum tuberosum (potato). Its description in RNAcentral is "long non-coding RNA (STUB_LNC002150)". Lineage: Eukaryota; Viridiplantae; Streptophyta; Magnoliopsida; Solanales; Solanaceae. The record is from RNAcentral.
UCUCUUCCAUUAAAUAGAAAAGAUGAGUGUAUCCAAAUUAUUAUGCAACAGAUCAGAGAAUUAUUAAUAAUGACAAAGAAAGAAAAGAGAAACAAAUUCUGGAAAAAAAAAAUUAACCUUGUUAGAAACUUGAAAGUUGAAGGUUAUUGGUAAAGAAGUUCUUCAAUCACCCAUCUAUGGCUUCAAUCGAAAAUGAAAAGUUGAGUGUACCCAAAUGAAAGAGUGAUUCUUACUGCAAUGAAGAAGAGAAGAAACGCAACAGAUCAGAGAAUUAUUAAUAAUGACAAAGAAAGAAAAGAGAAACAAAUUCUGGAAAAAAAAAAUUAACCUUGUUAGAAACUUGAAAGUUGAAGGUUAUUGGUAAAGAAGUUCUUCAAUCACCCAUCUAUGGCUUCAAUCGAAAAUGAAAAGUUGAGUAUACCCAAAUGAAAGAGUGAUUCUCACUGCAAUGAAGAAGAGAAGAAAUCUG